AGCAGCCGCGGUAAUUCCAGCUCCAAUAGCGUAUAUUAAAGUUGUUGCAGUUAAAAAGCUCGUAGUUGAAUUUCGGGGUUAGUAGGUUGGUCAUGCCUCUGGUAUGUACUGGUCUCACUGAUUCCUCCUUCCUGAUGAACCUUAAUGCCAUUAAUUUGGUGUUUUGGGGAAUUUGGACUGUUACUUUGAAAAAAUUAGAGUGUUUAAAGCAAGCUAACGCUUGAAUACAUUAGCAUGGAAUAAUGAAAUAGGACGUUCGAUCCUAUUUUGUUGGUUUCUAGGAUUGACGUAAUGAUUAAUAGGGAUAGUUGGGGGCAUUAGUAUUCAAUUGUCAGAGGUGAAAUUCUUGGAUUUAUUGAAGACUAACUACUGCGAAAAGCAUUUGCCAAGGAUGUUUUCAUUAAUCAAGAACGAAAGUUAGGGGAUCGAAGACGAUCAGAUACCGUCGUAGUCUUAACCAUAAACUAUGACCGACUAGGGAUCGGAUGAUGUUAAUUUUUAAUGUACUCAUUCGGCGCCU
RNAcentral lists this ribosomal RNA (520 nucleotides) under uncultured Glomus. RNAcentral's name for it is "SSU rRNA". It matches the Rfam family "Eukaryotic small subunit ribosomal RNA", at positions 569 to 1088 of the family's 1831-position model. The record is from RNAcentral. Lineage: Eukaryota; Fungi; Glomeromycota; Glomeromycetes; Glomerales; Glomeraceae.